Molecule: small RNA, 382 nt
Filed under: Histoplasma capsulatum
Lineage: Eukaryota; Fungi; Ascomycota; Eurotiomycetes; Onygenales; Ajellomycetaceae
Also listed under: 1 other name
Description: hypothetical RNA
Source: RNAcentral
AGACCACUUGGAGAACAGUGUGCUCUCUUAUGACUCCCGCCAGUAAUGAGUUCUUACCACAGCUGGAGUCAUGGACGGAGAAAGCGAAUAAGAAGGGAAUGGGAAGGGGUUUAGUACAUGUACCGUACCUCAGAGCUUCCAGUUGAGAAAGACGAUAUCUACGCUGCAGCAGCUGAUAUGAACGUUCCAGUCGCAUUUCCCAUACUUCUGAUCUUUAGGCUUUAUUGAUAAUUAUAAUUGCAUAAAUUGUUCUUGUUCUACUAUGAACCCUCUUUCGGCCCAAGAACCUGACUGAGAGCCUACACAAAAUUUUACAGUCGCUCGUCUAUGAGGCGGAAUAUUUGUACAGUACAUUUAUCAAUCAUCAUCUAUACCAACAUAU